AAAGGAUUUUGUACAGCAAGACAAUGGAGAGCUAUCACUGUGGUGGACCUUCGGCCAAGGGACCACGGUGGAAGUCAAACGGUCUGAUGCUCAGCUGACUGUCGCCAUCUUCCCACCAUCUCAGGAGCAACUGAAUUCUGGAUCCGCCUCUGUCGUGUGCUUCCUGAAUAAAUUCUACCCCAAAGAUUACAAAGUCCAGUGGAAGGUAGACAAUGUUGUUAAAGAGGUUGAGGUAGUGGAAAGUUAUACAGAACAGGACAGCACAGACAGCAACUACAGCCUUAGCAGCACCCUGACGAUGACCAGUGCAGAGUAUAAGUGCCAUAAUGUCUAUACCUGCGAGGCCACACAUGACAGCCUGAGCUCGUCUGUGGUCAAGAGCUUCAACCAGCAAGAGUGUUAGGCCAAGAGUCCUGCCAGGCACCU
This is a non-coding RNA of Galeopterus variegatus (Sunda flying lemur), 426 nucleotides long. The record is from the annotation of a RefSeq genome assembly. Lineage: Eukaryota; Metazoa; Chordata; Mammalia; Dermoptera; Cynocephalidae.